RNAcentral lists this unclassified non-coding RNA (306 nucleotides) under Hevea brasiliensis (rubber tree). The record is from RNAcentral. Lineage: Eukaryota; Viridiplantae; Streptophyta; Magnoliopsida; Malpighiales; Euphorbiaceae.
GUCUUUAACUGUAAAAUUUCCAUCUUCACCGAAAGCAAAGGACCCUUUUGUACCAGAGAUUGGAUUCUUUCUAUUAGCGACCCAGAUGACAGGCUGACCCUGAGCCUUGUGAUACCUUAUACCAACAUAUCGCAAAGAAGAACUUUCAGGGCUAAAGAAACCCAGUUCAAAAUUUUCAUCGACUGAUACUAAGGUUUCACCAUCUUUAAUUGAUUGGCCUUGUGUGAUUCUGUCAAUUCCAUGGCAGAACAGAACCAGAGAGAACAGAGAAAAAAGAAUGAGAAAAGAAAAACAGAUUUCUUGCUC